AGAGUUUUAUUCUGGCUCAGAACGAACGCUGGCAGCGUGGAUUAGGCAUGCAAGUCGAACGAGAAUCCGCGCAUUUCAAUUCUUCGGAAGAGGAUGCGUGGAGGACAGUGGCGGAAGGGUGAGUAACGCUUGGGCAAUCUGCCUCUAAGAUCGGGACAACCCCUCGAAAGGGGGGCUAAUACCGAAUGUGAUCAUUCUGACGCAUGUCGGAAUGAUUGAAGGUGGGGAUUCUUCGGAACCUGCCGCUUGGAGAGGAGCCCAUGUCCCAUCAGCUUGUUGGUGAGGUAACGGCCCACCAAGGCUUACGGGUAGCUGGUCUGAGAGGAUGGUCAGCCACACUGGGACUGAGACACUGCCCAGACUCCUACGGGAGGCUGCAGUCGAGGAUCAUUGGCAAUGCGCGAAAGCGUGACCAUGCGACGCUGCGUGGAGGAUGACGGCCUUCGGGUUGUAAACUCCUGUCAUGCGGGACAAACUGUGGCCGGCUGAUAAUGCCGGUUACGUGAUGGUACCGCAAGAGGAAGCCACGGCUAACUCUGUGCCAGCAGCCGCGGUAAUACAGAGGUGGCGAGCGUUGUUCGGAUUUACUGGGCGUAAAGGGUGCGUAGGUGGUUACGUAUGUCGGACGUGAAAGCCCACUGCUCAACGGUGGAAAUGCGUUCGAAACUGCGAAACUAGAGUGCAGGAGGGGAGAGCGGAAUUCUUGGUGUAGCGGUGAAAUGCGUUGAUAUCAAGAAGAACACCGGUGGCGAAGGCGGCUCUCUGGAAUGUAACUGACACUGAAGCACGAAAGUUGGGGGAGCGAACAGGAUUAGAUACCCUGGUAGUCCCAACCGUAAACGGUGUGCACUUGGUGUGGGGAGUAUUGACCCUCUCCGUGCCGGAGCUAACGCGUUAAGUGCACCGCCUGGGGAGUACGGCCGCAAGGCUAAAACUCAAAGAAAUUGACGGGGGCCCGCACAAGCGGAGGAGCAUGUGGCUUAAUUCGAUGCAACGCGAAGAACCUUACCAGGGCUUGACAUGCAGCUGCACGUCCCGCGAAAGCGGGAAAGCCUUUGAGGGUGCUGCACAGGUGCUGCAUGGCUGUCGUCAGUUCGUGCCGUGAGGUGUUGGGUUAAGUCCCGCAACGAACGCAACCCCUGUGUUUAGUUGCCACCGCAGGUGAUGAGCCUGCGAGCACUCUAGACAGACUGCCCGUGCAAGCGGGAGGAAGGUGGGGAUGACGUCAAGUCAGUAUGGCCCUUACGCCCUGGGCUGCACACGUGCUACAAUGGCGGGUACAGUGGGAUGCAAUAUCGCGAGGUGGAGCAAAUCCCUAGAGCCCGCCCCAGUUCGGAUUGGAGUCUGCAACUCGACUCCAUGAAGUCGGAUUCGCUAGUAACGGCGCAUCAGCUACGACGCCGUGAAUACGUUCCCGGGCCUUGUACACACCGCCCGUCACAUCAUGAAAGCCGUCUGCACCCGAAGUCGCUGAGCUAACCCGCAAGGGGGGCAAGUGCCGAAGGUGUGGGUGGUGAUUGGGAUGAAGUCGGAACAAGGUA
RNAcentral lists this ribosomal RNA (1541 nucleotides) under metagenome. Its description in RNAcentral is "bacterial SSU rRNA". It matches the Rfam family "Bacterial small subunit ribosomal RNA". The record is from RNAcentral.